UAGGGCUUCACACGUCAUACAAUGGUCGGUACAGAGGGUUGCCAAGCCGCGAGGUGGAGCCAAUCCCUUAAAGGCCGAUCCGUAGUACCGGAUCGUAGUCUGCAACUCGACUACGUGAAGUCGGAAUCGCUAGUAAUCGCAGAUCAGCAUGCUGCGGUGAAUACGUUCCCGGGUCUU
Molecule: ribosomal RNA, 177 nt
Filed under: uncultured Thauera sp.
Lineage: Bacteria; Pseudomonadati; Pseudomonadota; Betaproteobacteria; Rhodocyclales; Zoogloeaceae
Description: partial 16S ribosomal RNA
Rfam family: Bacterial small subunit ribosomal RNA
Source: RNAcentral